UUACAUUCUUCUUAGUGGGAUGCCGCCAUUUUGGGGUAAGACUAAGUCACGAAUAUUUGACGCUGUAAGGGCUGCGGAUCUGCGAUUCCCAUCUAAUCCUUGGGAUUGGAUAACUGAAUCUGCAAAGGAGUUAGUAAGGGGGAUGCUUUGUACUGAUCCUUCUCAAAGGCUUACUGCUCAACAGGUUUUGGAUCAUUCCUGGAUGAAGGAUGAUACACCGUGUGCUGAAGAACCAGGUCAAUUUGAAGAGCAAAGUUGUGAAGAAUGGGAUUUAGGUGGUGGCUCUUUCUCUAUAAUGAUGGCCAGGAAUCAGGACAUCAGCUUUGGAACUGGCUCACUUGUUAUUUGUGAUACUGAAUCAUCUACUUUCAGAUGCAGAUCGUCAUUUUCUUCCUUCCUUGUGGAACCUUCAACACCUUGCUCUGUAUCUGCUCGAUUUUCUUUCUGUAGCAGUGGCAAUUUUAAUGUCUUGGAACUUUCUUCCCCUGUAUCCUCAAUGCCAAGCUUUGCAUUCUUAAGCCAUGGUCCUGUAACAGAGGAAGGGAGUUGUACACUGGAUAUCUCAAACAACAUUUCCAGUUUGAAUCCACGUCAUGGAGGUAAGCUGGUUUCAUUUCUUUGAUAGUUCAUGAUACAAUGAUGUCAUUGAAUUUAUUUCUUUUUUCAAAAUAUUCUAUUAUGCAGAGCUCAGCUUGGAGAAGAUGUUCAUGUUAUCUGAAUCUUCUCUUUUCUGUGGACGUGAAGCUAGAGAAAUGGAACGCAAGCCAGGUGAUGUUAAGAGGCCAGGAGGAGCCAUUGGGUCUCGGAUGGGCAUGCACAGUAAGAGGAACCGUACAAUUGGUCUUGGUGAGCAUGAACAACUCGAUCUCAUGGUGACUGAAUCAGUAAUCCGAUGGGCAUCAUGCACGCGUCUCCCAACUGCUCCAUCUCUUAGGUCUUCUCUUGUUUGUUGAAACUUGAAAGGGAGGGCUGACUGACAACCUGAAGCUAAAGAAUGUAUGUAACCGGACGCUCGGAUGGAUGAUUGAUGUGGGAGAAAUUGGCAUGCCAACGCUCGUUUCUACCAGCCAAUGUAUUUGUAAUACGUUUGUUUGUCCUGUUUUGCUGAAUCAUGGUGAGCAAGUCUUAGGCAAGCUUCUAAUGGUGGUGUGUUUUGAGUGAUGUCUUUUUGUUAUCGUCAGUUUGUCAACUACUAGGUUGCAAGAGCACCAAGCAGCGAGUAAUGGGCUGCUGCCUUGUUUAUAAAGCUGAAUUUUGUAGUAUGAAGUUUUCCGAGUUUCAUCAUUCUGUGUUCCAUGAAUGCAAGAAUGUGGUGAUUGAAUCUUCCUCUUCGUUUCCCAACAUACUUUGUGCGAAGUUGGUUGGUAAGAAAUGGUUGACUUUAUCUAUUUAUUUUUUUAACAAUGGAGAGGUAUAGGAUUCAAACU
Molecule: unclassified non-coding RNA, 1427 nt
Filed under: Hevea brasiliensis (rubber tree)
Lineage: Eukaryota; Viridiplantae; Streptophyta; Magnoliopsida; Malpighiales; Euphorbiaceae
Source: RNAcentral